RNAcentral lists this ribosomal RNA (468 nucleotides) under uncultured bacterium. Its description in RNAcentral is "partial 16S ribosomal RNA". It matches the Rfam family "Bacterial small subunit ribosomal RNA", at positions 28 to 507 of the family's 1533-position model. The record is from RNAcentral.
GACGAACGCUGGCGGCGUGCUUAACACAUGCAAGUCGAACGGAAAGGCCCUGCUUUUGUGGGGUGCUCGAGUGGCGAACGGGUGAGUAACACGUGAGUAACCUGUCCUUGACUUUGGGAUAACUUCAGGAAACUGGGGCUAAUACCCGAUAGGAGCUCCUGCUGCAUGGUGGGGGUUGGUAAGUUUCGGCGGUUGGGGAUGGACUCGCGGCUUAUCAGCUUGUUGGUGGGGUAGUGGCUUACCAAGGUUUUGACGGGUAGCCGGCCUGAGAGGGUGAACGGCGACAUGGGGACUGAGAGACGGCCCAGACUCCUACGGGAGGCAGCAGUGGGGAAUAUUGCACAAUGGGCGGAAGCCUGAUGCAGCAACGCCGCGUGCGGGAUGACGGCCUACGGGUUGUAAACCGAUUUCGCAUGUGACGAAGCGUUAGUGACGGUAAUGGGUAAAGAAGCACCGGCUAACUACGUG